RNAcentral lists this ribosomal RNA (394 nucleotides) under uncultured bacterium. RNAcentral's name for it is "partial 16S ribosomal RNA". It matches the Rfam family "Bacterial small subunit ribosomal RNA", at positions 523 to 918 of the family's 1533-position model. The record is from RNAcentral.
AUACGUAGGGGACGAGCGUUGUCCGGAAUUACUGGGCGUAAAGGGCGCGCAGGCGGAUAUUUAAGUCAGCUGUAAAAGGCAUGAGCUCAACUCAUGUAUGCGGUUGAAACUGGGUAUCUAGAGUGCUGGAGAGGUAGGCGGAAUUCCCGGUGUAGCGGUGAAAUGCGUAGAUAUCAGGAAGAAUACCAGUGGCGAAGGCGGUUUGCUGGCUGCAUACUGACGCUGAAGCGCGAAAGCCAGGGGAGCAAACGGGAUUAGAUACCCCGGUAGUCCUGGCAGUAAACGAUGUAUGCUGGGUGUGGGAGUAGCGAUACCUCCGUGCCGAAGUUAACGCGAUAAGCAUUCCGCCUGGGGAGUACGAUCGCAAGAUUGAAACUCAAAGGAAUUGGCGGGG